CAGUCGCCGCGGUAAUACGGAGGGCGCGAGCGUUACCCGGAUUUACUGGGCGUAAAGGGCGUGUAGGCGGCCUGGGGCGUCCCAUGUGAAAGGCCACGGCUCAACCGUGGAGGAGCGUGGGAUACGCUCAGGCUAGAGGGUGGGAGAGGGUGGUGGAAUUCCCGGAGUAGCGGUGAAAUGCGCAGAUACCGGGAGGAACGCCGAUGGCGAAGGCAGCCACCUGGUCCACUUCUGACGCUGAGGCGCGAAAGCGUGGGGAGCAAACCGGAUUAGAUACCCCAGUAGUCCCUGUCUCUAUACA
This 301-nucleotide ribosomal RNA is filed under the name uncultured bacterium. Its description in RNAcentral is "partial 16S ribosomal RNA". It matches the Rfam family "Bacterial small subunit ribosomal RNA", at positions 509 to 808 of the family's 1533-position model. The record is from RNAcentral.